UACGAAGGGGGGCUAGCGUUGCUCGGAAUCACUGGGCGUAAAGGGUGCGUAGGCGGAUCUUUAAGUCAGGGGUGAAAUCCUGGAGCUCAACUCCAGAACUGCCUUUGAUACUGAGGAUCUCGAGUUCGGGAGAGGUGAGUGGAACUGCGAGUGUAGAGGUGAAAUUCGUAGAUAUUCGCAAGAACACCAGUGGCGAAGGCGGCUCACUGGCCCGAUACUGACGCUGAGGCAUGAAAGCGUGGGGAGCAAACAGG
Molecule: ribosomal RNA, 254 nt
Filed under: uncultured bacterium
Lineage: Bacteria
Description: partial 16S ribosomal RNA
Rfam family: Bacterial small subunit ribosomal RNA
Source: RNAcentral